RNAcentral lists this ribosomal RNA (489 nucleotides) under uncultured bacterium. RNAcentral describes it as "bacterial SSU rRNA". It matches the Rfam family "Bacterial small subunit ribosomal RNA", at positions 28 to 511 of the family's 1533-position model. The record is from RNAcentral.
GAUGAACGCUAGCGGCAGGCUUAAUACAUGCAAGUCGUGGGGCAGCAUGAGUAGCAAUACUUGAUGGCGACCGGCAAACGGGUGAGGAACACGUACACAACCUUCCUUCAAGCGGGGAAUAGCCCAGAGAAAUUUGGAUUAAUACCCCAUAAUAUAUUUGAUAAGGCAUCUUAUUAAUAUUAAAGCUUCGGCACUUGAUGAUGGGUGUGCGGCUGAUUAGAUAGUUGGCGGGGUAACGGCCCACCAAGUCUACGAUCAGUAGCUGAUGUGAGAGCAUGAUCAGCCACACGGGCACUGAGACACGGGCCCGACUCCUACGGGAGGCAGCAGUAAGGAAUAUUGGACAAUGGACGAAAGUCUGAUCCAGCCAUGCCGCGUGAAGGAUUAAGGUCCUCUGGAUUGUAAACUUCUUUUAUAUGGGACGAAAAAAGGGCACUCUUGUUCACUUGACGGUACCAUAUGAAUAAGCACCGGCUAACUCCGUGCCAG